This 73-nucleotide transfer RNA is filed under the name Anaerolineaceae bacterium. RNAcentral's name for it is "tRNA-Arg". It matches the Rfam family "tRNA". From Rfam's summary of the family: Transfer RNA (tRNA) molecules are approximately 80 nucleotides in length. The record is from RNAcentral. Lineage: Bacteria; Bacillati; Chloroflexota; Anaerolineae; Anaerolineales; Anaerolineaceae. RNAcentral also lists the same sequence under 1 other name.
GACUGCGUAGCUCAAUGGAUAGAGCGCUACCCUCCGGAGGUAGAGGCUGAGGGUUCGACCCCCUCCGCAGUCG